This 526-nucleotide ribosomal RNA is filed under the name Cyclocephala ligyrina. Its description in RNAcentral is "partial 16S ribosomal RNA". It matches the Rfam family "Bacterial large subunit ribosomal RNA", at positions 1819 to 2610 of the family's 2925-position model. The record is from RNAcentral. Lineage: Eukaryota; Metazoa; Arthropoda; Insecta; Coleoptera; Scarabaeidae.
GUCUUUUUGAUUAUAAUUUAAAGUCUGACCUGCCCAAUGAUGUAUUAAAUGGCCGCGGUAACUUGACCGUGCUAAGGUAGCAUAAUCAUUAGUUUUUUAAUUGAAAGCUGGAAUGAACGGUUGGACGAGAAAAUAACUGUCUCAAUUUAAUUGAAUAUAGAAUUUUAUUUAUAAGUAAAAAAGCUUAUAUGUAUUUAAAAGACGAGAAGACCCUAUAGAAUUUAAUAUUUUUGUAUAUUAAUAUUUUUUAGAGUUAGUAAAUGUUGAUAUAUUAAAAUAUUUUGUUGGGGUGAUGGAAAAAUUUAAUAAACUUUUUUUAAUAAUUUUAAAUCAUGAAUUAAUGAUUGGUUGAUCCGUUUGUUACGAUUAUAAGAUUAAAUUACCUUAGGGAUAACAGCGUAAUUUUUUUUUAGAGUUCUUAUCAAAAAAAGAGUUUGCGACCUCGAUGUUGGAUUAAAAUGAACUUUUGGUGUAGGGGCUAAAAGGUUAGGUCUGUUCGACCUUUAAAAUUUUACAUGAUCUGAGU